This 253-nucleotide ribosomal RNA is filed under the name uncultured bacterium. RNAcentral's name for it is "partial 16S ribosomal RNA". It matches the Rfam family "Bacterial small subunit ribosomal RNA", at positions 524 to 776 of the family's 1533-position model. The record is from RNAcentral.
UACGGAGGAUCCAAGCGUUAUCCGGAUUUAUUGGGUUUAAAGGGUGCGUAGGCGGCUUAUUAAGUCAGGGGUGAAAGACGGUGGCUCAACCAUCGCAGUGCCUUUGAUACUGAUGAGCUUGAAUGUAGUUGAGGUAGGCGGAAUGAGACAAGUAGCGGUGAAAUGCAUAGAUAUGUCUCAGAACACCGAUUGCGAAGGCAGCUUACUAAACUAUAAUUGACGCUGAUGCACGAAAGCGUGGGGAUCAAACAGG